CUAUUUGAUGAAGAAAUCACCUCCAAGAUCCUUGCUGGUCUCGACGUGGAGUACAACCCCGUCGUAUCAGCGCCCGCAACUCGGGUUGAACCGGUGUCGGUUCAGGAGUUGUACAACCAGCUCCUGACCUUCGACG
Molecule: small nucleolar RNA, 136 nt
Filed under: Hordeum vulgare
Lineage: Eukaryota; Viridiplantae; Streptophyta; Magnoliopsida; Poales; Poaceae
Description: Small nucleolar RNA Z247
Rfam family: Small nucleolar RNA Z247
About the family: Z247 is a member of the C/D class of snoRNA which contain the C (UGAUGA) and D (CUGA) box motifs. Most of the members of the box C/D family function in directing site-specific 2'-O-methylation of substrate RNAs.
Source: RNAcentral